Molecule: ribosomal RNA, 253 nt
Filed under: uncultured bacterium
Lineage: Bacteria
Description: partial 16S ribosomal RNA
Rfam family: Bacterial small subunit ribosomal RNA
Source: RNAcentral
UACGUAGGCGACGAGCGUUGUCCGGAGUUACUGGGCGUAAAGGGUGCGCAGGUGGCGGCGCGCGUGGGGGGUGAAAUCGCCCGGCUUAACUGGGCGGGGGCCUUCCAGACGGCGUGGCUUGAGCAGCGGAGGGGGACGUGGAAUUCCGGGUGGAGCGGUGAAAUGCGUAGAGAUCGGGAGGAACAUCAGUGGCGAAGGCGGCCAUCUGGGACAACACUGACGCUGAGGCACGAAAGCGUGGGGAGCAAACAGG